CCUACGGGGAGCAGCAGUGGGGGAUAUUGCACAAUGGAGGAAACUCUGAUGCAGCGACGCCGCGUGAGGGAAGACGGUCUUCGGAUUGUAAACCUCUGUCUUUGGGGAAGAAAAUGACGGUACCCAAAGAGGAAGCUCCGGCUAACUACGUGCCAGCAGCCGCGGUAAUACGUAGGGAGCGAGCGUUGUCGGGAAUUACUGGGUGUAAAGGGAGCGUAGGCGGGCGAGAAAGUUGAAUGUUAAAUCUACCGGCUUAACUGGUAGCUUCGUUCAAAACUUCUGGUGUUGAGUGAAGUAUGGGCAGGCGGAAUACCUAGUGUAGCGGUGAAAUGCGGAGAUAUUAGGGGGAACACCAGGGGCGAAGGCGGCCUGCUGGGCUUUAACUGACGCUGAGGCUCGAAAGCGUGGGGAGCAAACAGGAUUAGAUACCCGGGUAGUC
RNAcentral lists this ribosomal RNA (439 nucleotides) under uncultured bacterium. RNAcentral describes it as "partial 16S ribosomal RNA". It matches the Rfam family "Bacterial small subunit ribosomal RNA", at positions 338 to 795 of the family's 1533-position model. The record is from RNAcentral.